Molecule: long non-coding RNA, 1218 nt
Organism: Brassica napus (rape)
Lineage: Eukaryota; Viridiplantae; Streptophyta; Magnoliopsida; Brassicales; Brassicaceae
Exons: 3
Source: RefSeq, a predicted model, not a curated record
AUCUUUCACUCUGUAUUACCCCUUUUGUUUACCUAUUCUCACUGAAAUUAGGGUCCACCUCCGCACGGAAAUUAUUCUCUGCGUUCUCUGAACACCGACAAUGGAGUCUCUUGAAUUUGGGUCACUCGAAUCGACGCUAAAAAUCUCUGUAUUGGUGCUCUCGCGUCGUUUGGUCUCCUCUUCAAGUCAAGAAAAACGUUCAGAUUCAUUGCCUUUAUGUUUCCAAUCCUGCCGACCCACUACGCAGUAAUUAAUAAUCCUCCUCAACCGCCUUUGUUACUCCGAUUUUCUGAUCCUAUAAAUAUGGGUGCAAAUUAUAACAAAUCUCAUAGCUUGCUCCACUUCUUUACGUUCUUAAUAAUCUUUUAAACACAUGCUAUGGCAAUGGCGAACUCCAGAUCCUGAUUUUUGUGUUGAAGUUCGGUGGUUGUAUUGAGGCAGGCGUGACGAUCUUUUUCGUUUUUAGGAGUUUAGUAGUGUUAAGAAAGGAAUGGAGCUCAUUAGUGUUGACAUGAGGAUAGAUCUUUCUGAGCUGCUUCAUUUUGUUGGAAGCUAAAAGGAGAAACGAACGACCAGGGAAAUUAGACGAAUGCUUACUAACAAAUGAGAGAUACAGAGGGAAAACCAUCUUAUUCAAGUGCAAGAACUAUGUGAAGGCUGAGUGAUUUAUGAGAACAUGUUUUGACAUCAUGGAGAAGUCAGUUGCUUCAGAAGAUCAGUCCAUAGCCUUCCUAAUUCAGUCAGUACUUCUCAACUGAACCGUUAUGAGGAAAUAUCAAUUAAGGCUCAAUGAAUCUGUGAGAAGUCAUUUGGUGAGGCGAUGUACUGUUUGGCGUCGAUUCAGACGAUGUUAGGUAAAGACGAUGAGGAAGUACUCGGUUUUCUGAAAAGGGUGUUGAUGAUCCAAGAAACAUAGUAGGGUUCAUCACCCAAAAAGAUUGUUACUCUCCAGAAGAUUGUCCAUCUUAUGGAGAAGUAGGAGACGAAAGAUGAGAAAUAUAAGUGUAAAAGAAGACUGGCUUUACAAGGAGAGUCGUAUUGUGAACAUAUUUUCUUACUCUGAUCUUUCUUGAACAAUGGCAGAAAGAUUGGUCUGGUAAUGGCCAGUGAUGUUAAAAAGUUAUUUUUGUUCUGGUAUAUACACUAAUACAACAUCUGCUUAUAUCUGUGAAAUUUUGCAGCAGUUAUGCUUUUAUUGAAUCGAGCUAUUAAUGACUA